CUGCUCAUUUAGGCAGCACAUAUACUAAAAUUGGAAUUAUACAAAGAAGACUAACAAAACCUCUAUGCAGGGAUGAUGGGUAAAUUCAUGAGGUACUGAAUAUUUAA
Perognathus longimembris pacificus (Pacific pocket mouse) is the source of this 107-nucleotide small nuclear RNA. The record is from RefSeq and is a predicted model, not a curated record. Lineage: Eukaryota; Metazoa; Chordata; Mammalia; Rodentia; Heteromyidae.